UACGGAGGGAGCUAGCGUUGUUCGGAAUUACUGGGCGUAAAGCGCACGUAGGCGGCUAUUCAAGUCAGAGGUGAAAGCCCGGGGCUCAACCCCGGAACUGCCUUUGAAACUAGGUAGCUAGAAUCUUGGAGAGGUCAGUGGAAUUCCGAGUGUAGAGGUGAAAUUCGUAGAUAUUCGGAAGAACACCAGUGGCGAAGGCGACUGACUGGACAAGUAUUGACGCUGAGGUGCGAAAGCGUGGGGAGUAAACAGG
This 253-nucleotide ribosomal RNA is filed under the name uncultured bacterium. RNAcentral's name for it is "partial 16S ribosomal RNA". It matches the Rfam family "Bacterial small subunit ribosomal RNA", at positions 524 to 776 of the family's 1533-position model. The record is from RNAcentral.